Ostrinia nubilalis (European corn borer) is the source of this 305-nucleotide long non-coding RNA. RefSeq lists it as uncharacterized. The record is from RefSeq and is a predicted model, not a curated record. Lineage: Eukaryota; Metazoa; Arthropoda; Insecta; Lepidoptera; Crambidae. The transcript is spliced from 2 exons.
ACACUGGUGACGUGAAGUCCCAGCACGAGCUCCGCCACGGGGACGUCGUCAAGGGCGGGUACGAGCUCGUCGAGCCCGACGGCAGGUUCAGGAAGGUCGAGUACAAGGCUGACGACCACACCGGAUUCAACGCCAUCGUGCACCACUCCUCGCCUCAUCAUCAUAUUCAUCUUGCCCAACAUCAUCACCACCUCUAAACUAAGAAGAUCCAUCUCCAAUAAGACUGAUUCACACCAAUCAAUUCUCAUUUUUGUAAAUAAAGAUAACAUGCAAAAUAAAAUAUUAGCGCUAAUAUGUAAAAUAAA